Molecule: ribosomal RNA, 449 nt
Filed under: uncultured bacterium
Lineage: Bacteria
Description: partial 16S ribosomal RNA
Rfam family: Bacterial small subunit ribosomal RNA
Source: RNAcentral
UGUCCAGACUCCUACGGGAGGCAGCAGUGGGGAAUAUUGCACAAUGGGGGAAACCCUGAUGCAGCGACGCCGCGUGAGCGGUGAAGUAUUUCGGUAUGUAAAGCUCUAUCAGUAGGGAAGAAAAUGACGGUACCUGACUAAGAAGCCCCGGCUAACUACGUGCCAGCAGCCGCGGUAAUACGUAGGGGGCAAGCGUUAUCCGGAUUUACUGGGUGUAAAGGGAGCGUAGACGGCGGUGCAAGCCAGAUGUGAAAGCCCGGGGCUCAACCCCGGGACUGCAUUUGGAACUGUGCUGCUAGAGUGUCGGAGAGGCAGGCGGAAUUCCUAGUGUAGCGGUGAAAUGCGUAGAUAUUAGGAGGAACACCAGUGGCGAAGGCGGCCUGCUGGACGAUGACUGACGUUGAGGCUCGAAAGCGUGGGGAGCAAACAGGAUUAGAUACCCCAGUAGC